Molecule: non-coding RNA, 410 nt
Organism: Otolemur garnettii (small-eared galago)
Lineage: Eukaryota; Metazoa; Chordata; Mammalia; Primates; Galagidae
Source: the annotation of a RefSeq genome assembly
UUUCUGUGCUCCAGGAUGGGGUUUGCCGUCCUCCUCAACCUCCUCCUGGCUGUUCUCCCAGGCGUCUGUGCCCAGGUGCAGCUGGUGCAGUCAGGGGCAGAGGUGAAACGGCCCGGGGAGUCUCUGACGAUCUCCUGCAAGCCAUCUGGAUACACCUUCACAAGCUACUGGAUGCACUGGGUGCGCCAGAGGCCUGGGAAGGGCCUGGAGUGGGUGGGGAGAAUCUAUCCUGGUAAUUUUAAGACAUACAAGAGUCCGGCCUUCCAAGGCCACGUCACCAUCUCCACCGACAACUCCAUCAGCACCGCUUCCCUCAGGUGGAGCAGCCUGAAGGCCGAGGACACCGCGGUGUACUACUGCGCUAAGGACACAGCGAGGGAACUGCAGUCCAGACACCAACCUCCUGCGUG